GCGCCCGUAGCUCAGUGGAUGAGAGCGACGGAUUGCGGAUCCGUAGGUCGGGGGUUCGAAUCCUCCCGGGCGCACCA
Molecule: transfer RNA, 77 nt
Filed under: Candidatus Bipolaricaulota bacterium
Lineage: Bacteria; Candidatus Bipolaricaulota
Description: tRNA-Arg
Rfam family: tRNA
About the family: Transfer RNA (tRNA) molecules are approximately 80 nucleotides in length. Their secondary structure includes four short double-helical elements and three loops (D, anti-codon, and T loops).
Source: RNAcentral